AGGGAGUGUGUGUGUGUGUGUGUGUGUGUGUGUGAGAGAGAGAGAGUUAGAGAGAGAGGAAGAGGAGAGAGCAGUAGACAGAAUAUUUUUAAGUGUUUUUAAUGAAAAGUUGGAGGAUGUCCCAGGAUGAGAACAAAGAUAUGGUACACCUGCUUGUCAAGAUUCUAACGUUAAUGUCCCACUUCCAGGAACAUGAAAAUGGACUGGUUUCACAUGCAGAUGUUGCAGCAUCUGCAUCUGAUGUUGAGAAGACACUCAAUCUACCUGCCAAUCCUCAUCUGAUUUUGCUGGGUUAGUGUGUCAUUGCACAUGAUGAAGAAGAAACAUUUACUGAUGGCUGAGAUAUAAAAUUGUUAACAUUGCUGUUGUGCACAAUUGUUAAAAUUGCUUCUUUUUUUUCUUUUUUUUUGUGAGUGUCCAGUCAACAUUUUUGACUGCAGUUGCAACAGUGUUUGCUGUGUACUACAUCUUCAACCUGCAGUAUCAAGAGGCUAGAGGUUAGAAUUUUUUCAAAGAUGAUUCUAUGGAAUAAACCCAGAAAGAGGCUCAAAGACCUGCCGAGGCAAGGUAGUCUCCAAGAAGACGGGGAAGGUGGUGAAUAAGAAGUCCACUACAGUCAAUCCAAAGGUUGCCACUCUACAAAAAAAUCGAAUGGACUUCAAAUGGGACUUCAUC
This is a long non-coding RNA of Carassius gibelio (silver crucian carp), 675 nucleotides long. RefSeq lists it as uncharacterized. The record is from RefSeq and is a predicted model, not a curated record. The transcript is spliced from 3 exons. Lineage: Eukaryota; Metazoa; Chordata; Actinopteri; Cypriniformes; Cyprinidae.